GGUACGUGGGACAAAAAGCCGAGC
Molecule: non-coding RNA, 24 nt
Filed under: Cricetulus griseus (Chinese hamster)
Lineage: Eukaryota; Metazoa; Chordata; Mammalia; Rodentia; Cricetidae
Source: RNAcentral